RNAcentral lists this unclassified non-coding RNA (179 nucleotides) under fungal sp. Its description in RNAcentral is "partial internal transcribed spacer region". The stretch from base 1 to 46 matches the Rfam family "Eukaryotic small subunit ribosomal RNA", at positions 1786 to 1831 of the family's 1831-position model. The record is from RNAcentral. Lineage: Eukaryota; Fungi.
AAGUCGUAACAAGGUUUCCGUAGGUGAACCUGCGGAAGGAUCAUUAAUGAAGAAGCCUCUUCAAAUACACCCUUGUGAACUGUCGUCUUCGGACGCUAUUACAAACUCUUAUGUCGUUAACGAAUGUCAAUGUUAUUCAUAACAAAGCAUAACUUUUAGCAACGGAUCUCUUGGCUCUC